RNAcentral lists this ribosomal RNA (638 nucleotides) under uncultured organism. RNAcentral describes it as "bacterial SSU rRNA". It matches the Rfam family "Bacterial small subunit ribosomal RNA", at positions 841 to 1501 of the family's 1533-position model. The record is from RNAcentral.
GUGUGGCGAAGGUAACCCGUUAAGCAAGCUGCCUGGAAAGUACGGCCGCAAGGAUGAAAUUCAAAGGAAUUGGCGGGGAGGCACACAACCAGUGGAACAUGUGGUUUAAUUCGAGACUAACCGAAGAACCUCACCAGGGUUUGACAUGUAGCUGCACGUCUUAAGAAAUUAAGACUCUCUUGAAGGUGCUACACAGGUGCUGCAUGGCUGUCGUCAGCUCGUUCCGUGAGGAGUGCCCUUAAGUGGGACAACGAGCGCAACCCCUAUUACAUGUUAGAAAUGUCAUGUAAGACUGCCUUGCCAUUUGGCGGGGAGGAAGGAGGGGCAGACGUCAAGUCCGCAUGGUCCUUAUGCCCUGGGCUACACACAUGUUACAAUGAGUACGGCAAUGAGUCUGUCGCGAGCACGUAAGUGUAAGCUAAUCUCUUAAAUGUACUCUCAGUGGGGAUUGAGGUCUGCAACUCGACCUCAUGAACACGGAAUUGGUAGUAAUCGCGGGUCAGCUAUACCGCGGUGAAUACGUUCUUGCCUCUUGCACACACCGCCCGUCAAACCAGCAAAGUCGAUUGUAUCCGAACCUCUCUUUUUGAGUGGGAGGAUGUGGUUGGUGAUGAGGGUUAAGUCGUAACAAGGUAACC